CGGUUUAUUUAACAUGUUGUAUAAUGUAUUAUUAAACCUGUACGUAAAGUUUUGUAAAGCUGUUUCACUUGAUAAAAAAGAGUUUGGGCAAGUUUUAUUUGAUUAGUUAAAAUUUGCAAAGAGCUAUGUUCCUUGAUUUAGUUCAUUUGUGAAAUUCUAAAUUUAUUAUCAAGUGAGAUUGCGCGGAGACAGGUAAACGGGUAUUUGCGACAGUAAAACUACCGAUGGACGUCCGCAAAGCUUCAAAUACAAUACAGUUAUCUCUAUUCUAAUGCAAAACAAGUUCAUAAUUAAAUUUCAAUCAUUAUUUCAGUGUAAAAUCUUCAUUAAAGAAAAUUCCGCGAAAAGAUGUUAUCUUCUUUGGUCCCUACACUAGGUGACGUCAUAG
Molecule: long non-coding RNA, 388 nt
Filed under: Mytilus galloprovincialis (Mediterranean mussel)
Lineage: Eukaryota; Metazoa; Mollusca; Bivalvia; Mytilida; Mytilidae
Source: RNAcentral